Molecule: long non-coding RNA, 450 nt
Filed under: Citrus maxima (pomelo)
Lineage: Eukaryota; Viridiplantae; Streptophyta; Magnoliopsida; Sapindales; Rutaceae
Description: long non-coding RNA (CMAX_LNC004361)
Source: RNAcentral
AAUGAGUUAAAAAUAUAAAGUAAAUAAAAUAAAGUCAAAAAGAAAUAAAAAAGAAAAAAGUAAAGCAAAGGUUAUUUAAAGUAUUAAAGUAAAGAAAAAAGUAUUAUAAGGUGGUCACUCUUUAGUCGAAAAUGUAUUUGAUACAAUAAAAAAGAAAAAUUAAAAUACAAAAUAGAAGCGAUUCCUCAAAGUUACAUGGCAUAGUUUUUAGUAUUUUUUAAUAUUAGUUGAUUCAAGAGUUGCCCACUCAAUCUGUUGAUUCGGAAUCGUGGGAUGGGUCGCUGUAAAAGACGAUGAAUUGGUUUCUUUUUCUAUCCCUGCCACUCAUUUUUGUUAGUACCUUUCUAGAAUACUUGAAGAAUCAAAACUUUCAAUUGAAGGUAUUCUUUCAAUGGGUAGAGCAUUUUUGCUUAUCUUCGUAUCGUCCAAAAGUGGAAACUUAGGGAAGUG